This is a long non-coding RNA of Zalophus californianus (California sea lion), 478 nucleotides long. RefSeq lists it as uncharacterized. The transcript is spliced from 3 exons. The record is from RefSeq and is a predicted model, not a curated record. NCBI's taxonomy places the organism in Eukaryota, Metazoa, Chordata, Mammalia, Carnivora, Otariidae.
GGGUUGUAAUGCCCGGCAGGGCUGAGCUGGCUUGGAGGACCCCGCAAAAGGCAGAUUCUGGUGAUUUCUGUUCCUGAAUUAGCAGCAUCGAGGAGAUCCUGUCUUGGCUUUUCUGUGCAUUCUGUCUCAAGGCCCCUCCUCAGCUUUCCGGAAUCAGCAGGGCAGACUUGGAAUUCCAGACAGAACUGAAAAGGCCACUGUUGCACCAACAAAGCAAGAGAUCAAGUUUCCAAGUGUAGCAGAGACACGGCCUCGGGGCAGAAAUUGCCACAACGCCCCACCACAAUGCCACACUCAGCCACGGCAGGGCUGGCAGCUCCAGCAACCCAUAGUUUCCAGAAGCCCACCCCUCAGCAACCGGGCCUUAAUGGCAGUGGACCGAUCACCAACAUAUGAGUGAGCCCAGUCAAGUCCAGCAGGGAAAACCAACCAGUUGAACCCCGCCCAGAUUGGCAACCUACAACAUUGUGUGCUAAUA